GGGGGGGGCGGUCCGCCCUGGGUGCCAACAGGCAGGGGGGUGCCACCAGGGCUGGCCAGGCUUGGGAGUCAGUGAGCUGUGUGGCUGCACUGGUUGCCAUAGCAGCAGGGGCGCCGGGCAGCCGACACAGCUCACACGCAGGGGCUGGGAAUACAGCAGGAAACCUGCACGGAGAUUCGGGGGCGGGGCCCGAUCAGCCGUGGGGGCGGAGCCAAUCCGGACGUGGGGGCGGAGCUAUAUGCAGCCUCCUACUGCUGCACACAGAGGGGAAGCAGGAAGGAGUCCCUGCUUCCCCAACUACAGCACAGCAGGGACUGAAUCCGCUCCUCCUCCAGCCCAAGCUUACUGUAAGGGAGAGAGUGUGUGCUGUGUGUAACUGUGAUUGUGACUGUCUGUGACUGUGUGUGUGACUCUCUGACUGUGUGUGUGUGUGUGUGUGUGACUGUCUGUGAUUGUGUUAUGUGUAUGUAUGACUGUGUGUGUGUGUGUGACUGCCUGUGAUUGUCUGUGUUACUCUGUGUGUGUGUGUGUCACUGUGUGUGACUGUCUGCCUGUGAUUGUGGGUGUGUGUGUGUGACUGCCUGUGAUUGUGUGUGUGACUGUCUGUGAUUGUAUUAUGUGUAUGUAUGACUGUCUGUGUGUGUGUGUGUCACUGUGUGUGACUGUCUGCCUGUGAUUGUCUGUGUUACUCUGUGUGUGUGUGUGUCACUGUGUGUGACUGUCUGCCUGUGAUUGUGGGUGUGUGUGACUGUCUGCCUGUGAUUGUGUGUGUGACUGUCUGUGACUGUGUUGUGUGUAUGUGUGACUGUCUGUGAUUGUGUGUGUGACUGUCUGCCUGUGUGAUUGCCUGCGUAUUUGACUGUCUGCCUGUAACUGUGUGUGAGUGACUGUGUGG
Molecule: non-coding RNA, 895 nt
Organism: Pelobates cultripes (western spadefoot toad)
Lineage: Eukaryota; Metazoa; Chordata; Amphibia; Anura; Pelobatidae
Source: the annotation of a GenBank genome assembly